Molecule: ribosomal RNA, 405 nt
Filed under: uncultured bacterium
Lineage: Bacteria
Description: partial 16S ribosomal RNA
Rfam family: Bacterial small subunit ribosomal RNA
Source: RNAcentral
AUUGAACGCUGGCGGCAGGCUUAACACAUGCAAGUCGAACGAGUGGCGGACGGGUGAGUAAUGCUUGGGAAUCUAGCUUAUGGAGGGGGAUAACUACGGGAAGGUGUAUCUAAUACCGCAUACCCAGAUGUGAGCCCAAGGGGGAUUAGGUAGGUGGGGGGGGAAAGGCUCACCAAGGCGACGAUCUCUAGCUGGUCUGAGAGGAUGACCAGCCACACGGGGACUGAGACACGGCCCAGACUCCUACGGGAGGCAGCAGUGGGGAAUAUUGCGCAAUGGGGGCAACCUGACGCAGCCAUGCCGCGUGAAUGAAGAAGGCCUUCGGGUUGUAAAGCACUUUCGGUAGGGAGGCGUUACCUACAGAAGAAGCACCGGCUAACUCCGUGCCAGCAGCCGCGGUAAUUC